AAUCCAUGAUUAGGGCAAUUUUUGACAAAUCCUUUGAAGUGCUCCCAUGCGACACUCAAGGUUUCAAAUUCUUCCUACUCGAAGUUCAUGAUCUCUCUUCGCCU
Molecule: small nucleolar RNA, 104 nt
Organism: Benincasa hispida (wax gourd)
Lineage: Eukaryota; Viridiplantae; Streptophyta; Magnoliopsida; Cucurbitales; Cucurbitaceae
Source: RefSeq, a predicted model, not a curated record